CGAGGCGGACGCAACGAUCCUCCCCCUUCCCCUUAUGAGCAUCGAAGUCGAAGAGGAAGAAUACAAGAGCGAAGGUGGACAGGGAGCAGAGACAGAGCACGCGGAAGACAAAAAGAAGGAGCCAUGGAACGAAAGGGAGCGAGGGUAAAGAGGACGAUCAAGGGGACGAGAUUAAACGAGGGACAGAGACGGAAAUUGAGGCAUAAAGCUUGAGGAGUAGCGAUGGACUCGAUUCGUCCAGAGAAUACAGAAUCACAGAGUUCAAACGUCGCAUUUAGAAGUCAGAAACUAAAACUGAAUUCGCGUGAUUCAGUCAUCGUAUCUACGAUCCUUUCUCGGAGUUCUUUAGAAAUUUUAACAUAACCAGAGAGGAAGAUCCGUCCAAGUACAUACUUAUCUUCGAGAUCACUGCCCGAAUUUCUCAAAUUCAUUAAGAUUAUUAAGACUUCGAAGAAGACGGUUCGGCGGUUGGAGUUCGAGCAGCGAGACACGGAGGAUUGUAACAGAAGACAUCGGGGAGGCAGUAACGGGAGCAAGCAGGAAGAGACAACGUGGGGAAGACAACUGCGAGUAGACAAACGAGGAAAGGAGAGAAUCGAAGGGAAGUGGAAG
This 612-nucleotide unclassified non-coding RNA is filed under the name Bombus terrestris (buff-tailed bumblebee). Its description in RNAcentral is "misc RNA ENSBTSG00005034369.1". The record is from RNAcentral. Lineage: Eukaryota; Metazoa; Arthropoda; Insecta; Hymenoptera; Apidae.